CAUACAUGAUAGGUACAUGCAGAAUCUAAAAUCCACUACUGGAAAGAAGUAGAUACCUCGUCAGAUAUUUUUAGGACAUCAUCCUCUGACUCGCUACUGACCAUCGUAGCAAUAGCCCUCAUCCGAUCCCCGAGUUAAGAGCAAUCUCUAGCUAGAUGUCCUAACUCAUCACACUGGUAAUAUCUGAUCUUGCUCAAGUCUCUCAUCCUAGACUUGGACCGCCCUCAUCAUGAUCUCCUGUCGCUCUGUCUACCACCUCUUGCUCCUUC
Molecule: long non-coding RNA, 269 nt
Filed under: Elaeis guineensis (African oil palm)
Lineage: Eukaryota; Viridiplantae; Streptophyta; Magnoliopsida; Arecales; Arecaceae
Description: long non-coding RNA (EGUI_LNC014588)
Source: RNAcentral